UGAAUAAUGAUCAGGCUGGCCUGCUUGCCUCCUUGAUCCCAACUCCAAGGUGCCAUUUUCUGAUGAUAGGUUAUACACCAUUGAUCAACGCCAGGUAACUUUGGUUCCCGAGUUGUUACGUUGGACAGGCAGCAUGUUUGGAUUUAGGUCUCAUGUACUUACUUUGUAGUUGCCUUUGGUUGGUUUAAAUUUGGGACCAGUGGAUUUGUUUCAGACUUCCAACAUUUGGUUUCCUGUUUUUCUUGUGGCAGGCUUGACCUGAUUUAAGUUUCUGCAGAACCUUUUUUCCUUGUGUGCUAGAUUUUUCAGCUCAAGAAGAUCCACCCUACAACUGUCUGCAAAGUUUAUAUGCAUGGUUAAUAUUGAGGAUUCUUCUGGUUGGAGCUCCUCGAGGAUCAUCAGUAACCUAGAAAGUGUGCUCUGGAUGUUGGGUCAGCUGCAUAUCAGACUUGAAUAUCCGGUUUUAACCGAUGGUUAAACUAAAUAAAUUAUGAAAAUGGAAACAUAAUUGGUUACUUGGAGUCAAUUUGUCUGCAUAUGCUCGAGGUGCGCUUGCUCUUCCUCUUGAUUACAACGACAUCUACCAGCAAAGUCUAAGGUAAUAGUAAUUUGACAUGCUGUAGUUAUAUAAGUGACUAUGCAGUUCAGUG
Molecule: long non-coding RNA, 650 nt
Organism: Lolium rigidum
Lineage: Eukaryota; Viridiplantae; Streptophyta; Magnoliopsida; Poales; Poaceae
Exons: 3
Source: RefSeq, a predicted model, not a curated record